This is a non-coding RNA of Coniella lustricola, 98 nucleotides long. Lineage: Eukaryota; Fungi; Ascomycota; Sordariomycetes; Diaporthales; Schizoparmaceae. The record is from the annotation of a GenBank genome assembly.
GGUCAGGUGGUGUAGUUGGUUAUCACGUCAGUCUAACAUCUCGCCCAAAAGCGAGCUUGAAACACUGAAGGUCUCCGGUUCGAACCCGGGCCAGAUCA